Molecule: long non-coding RNA, 1201 nt
Organism: Corvus hawaiiensis (hawaiian crow)
Lineage: Eukaryota; Metazoa; Chordata; Aves; Passeriformes; Corvidae
Exons: 3
Source: RefSeq, a predicted model, not a curated record
UCCUACAAGCGGUUGCUUUCUCUGUCGCUCCUGCUGUGACUAACCCUGGAGGGAGAAAGCAAACUUUGCAAGUCCCUGGACAUAAAGGUUAUUUGCUAGAAUGGAGGAGACUUUUAUGAGAGGCCGGGACGCCGAAGCGGUGGCACUGCAUGGCCCAGGCAGCAGUGAAAGUGCCCAGCGAAGGCAGAAAAAAGCCAUCCGUGGAGUGGAGGUUGGCACCAAGACAAAGACAUUUAUUUAGAAACCACCCAGCUCCAAACCCUUUUCCCUUCCCCUGAACCUACAAACCACUAAUCUGCUCAGGCAGCUGGACCCCAGAUUUUGAGGUGACUGGGACUGCUGGGAGAAUCUCAUACAAAACCCUGGAUCUGAACGUCCCUCGGCAGCAGCCACACGCACGCCCAGCUCUGUGGACGCUGUCUACGGAAAAUAACGCACAGCUUGUCUAAAGCCACGCGUCUUUGUGGACAUCUCAGUGCAAACACUUUAAAAGCCAAAAAUCCUCUUUGACCCAUACGUGGCAUUUCUUACAGAGCUCACUCAUCUCCCACACGGAGCCUCUCUGAGCUGGCUGGCAAAAAAGGAGGGAAUUUCCUUUAAAAACCCCGGCAGAAGAGCUGCAGGCUGCUCCACACUGGGGCCCUGCCAGCUCCCUGCACCCUGCACGGCCUCAGAGGUGCUCGCUGGUGUCCAGCACCCACCAGAGAGGACAGGGAGCACCCACUGCUUUUCCCCAAGCGGGGAAGGGCUGCAGCAUAAUCUGGUGGGCGAAGCCGCCGCUCUCGCUGGCGGGUGGGGAAGCGAUGCCAGAGGCUCUCGGGUCUGUAGUGAGGAUUUCUGAAGGGAAAACUGUUCAUCUCGUUGGUCGUUGAUAGCUGCGAAUUUGCCAGGAGAGGAGGAACAGAAAGGGAAUUUUAAUUUUUUAAUUUCCUUUCCAUUCAGCGUUUCCUGCAUUUCCAAACUCACGGGAGGUUUGCAGGAACGUCGGCUGAAAUCCCGAAAUGUAAUAAUAAUAAUAAAAGUAAAAUUAAAAUAUCAAACGGGACGGACAGAGAUGCUCGGGGUAACACACGGUUCCUCCGCCCGCGGCCGCGCAGGAUGUUCGUCGGUUCUGGCCAUUCGCAGUAAAUAAAUGAAUUUAAAAAAAAACCAUCCUGGUGACUCGAGAAUUAAAGAGGAAUGGGGUAGAGGAAUGCAGAGA